Molecule: transfer RNA, 99 nt
Filed under: Halanaerobacter jeridensis
Lineage: Bacteria; Bacillati; Bacillota; Clostridia; Halanaerobiales; Halobacteroidaceae
Description: tRNA-Sec
Rfam family: Selenocysteine transfer RNA
Source: RNAcentral
GGGAAUAGCUGUAUCCAUGGUGGAUGCCCUAGACUUCAAAUCUAGCGGCAGGCAACUUUAGUUGUCUGCGGUGGGUUCGAUUCCCACAUAUUCCCGCCA